GACGAACGCUGGCGGCGUGCUUAACACAUGCAAGUCGAACGGAAAGGCCCUGCUUUUGUGGGGUGCUCGAGUGGCGAACGGGUGAGUAACCCGUGAGUAACCUGCCCUUGACUUUGGGAUAACUUCAGGAACCUGGGGCUAAUGCCGGAAAGGAGCUAAUGCUGCAGGGUGGGGGUUGGAAAGUUUCGGCGGUUGGGGAGGGACGCGUGGCUUCUGAGCUUGUUGGUGGGGAGGUGGCUUACCAAGGCUUUGACGGGUAGCCGGCCGGAGAGGGUGACGGGCAGCAAUGGGAGGACGGUGACGCCGAGACGCCUACUGGGGGAAGCAGUGGGGAAGAAUUCACCAUAGUCGGAGGAAGCAUGCAGGAGCGCCGCGGGGGGGAGGACGGCCGUCGGGGGGUAGACAGCUGUCGCCUGUGACGAAGCGGGAGUGACGGUAACUGGUGAAUAAGCACCGGCUAACUACGUG
This 468-nucleotide ribosomal RNA is filed under the name uncultured bacterium. RNAcentral's name for it is "partial 16S ribosomal RNA". It matches the Rfam family "Bacterial small subunit ribosomal RNA", at positions 28 to 507 of the family's 1533-position model. The record is from RNAcentral.